UACACACUCUUGCACAGUAGGUGGCGGUAUGCACCUUAAAGUUGUUCGCGAUCCGCCAGUAAACCGGGAGGAGGAGGAGGACAGGAAGAAGAAGAAGAAGAAGAAGAAGAAGAAGAAGAAGAAGAAGAAGAAGAAGAAGAAGAAGAAGAAGAAGAAGAAGAAGAAGAAGAAGAAAAAUAAAGAAGAAGACAAACUAACCAGAUGACAAAGCAAUUUUUUGUUUGUAGAUUGGAUCAGCUGUAGGGACCCUCUGCUCCGUGUAACUAAAGGCUUCGCAUGCCCAUCUCGCUUAUAAAGAUGAGCAAAGAAGAAAGCAUCACUAUGAUCUUAACUUUUAAGAAUGACGUUUUGUAACUUUAACUGUUUUUAUUGUGACAUCGAUCGUGUUGUAUUCUGUAAAUUGUGUAAACACAACAUCCAUUGCACGUUGUCCGUCUUGGGAGGGAGGUCCCUCUGUUGCUCCCUGAGGGUUCUUUCUCAUUUUUUGUCCAUGUUAAAGGUUUUUUUUUCCGGGAGUUGUUUCUUAUCCGAUGCGAGGGGCUAAGGACAGGAUGUUGUGUUGCUGUAAAUUCCCUUGAGGCAAAGUUGUAAUUAAAUAAAACUGACUUGACUGAUGUGAUCAAAUGUAUAUGUAUAUUAAUGUGAUGUACUAAUAUCAAAUGAUUUUGGGUAGGUGGAUGGGUGAACUAUGCCAUUGUUGCUUUGUUUUGUUUUUUUAGAUCAGGGAAAUGAAAUGUAUUUGUAGACUUGAAACCCACACAGACGCUGAAGUCCUAAGAGAAGCUUUACUACUUGUGUACGGUGGUAGGAAUUAAAAAGCUGAAUGCCUCUACUCAACAA
Long non-coding RNA from Lampris incognitus (smalleye Pacific opah), 840 nucleotides. RefSeq lists it as uncharacterized. The transcript has 2 exons. Lineage: Eukaryota; Metazoa; Chordata; Actinopteri; Lampriformes; Lampridae. The record is from RefSeq and is a predicted model, not a curated record.